RNAcentral lists this ribosomal RNA (745 nucleotides) under uncultured marine bacterium. RNAcentral describes it as "bacterial SSU rRNA". It matches the Rfam family "Bacterial small subunit ribosomal RNA", at positions 56 to 849 of the family's 1533-position model. The record is from RNAcentral.
UGCAAGUCGAACGAAGUAGCAAUACUUAGUGGCAGACGGGUGAGUAACAUGUAGGUAUCUGCCCUUUGGCCUGGAAUAACACGAGGAAACUUGUGCUAAUACCGGAUAAGUCUUUACGGAGAAAGCUUUAUGCACCAUUGGAUGAGCCUGCACUUGAUUAGUUUGUUGGUGGGGUAAUGGCCUACCAAGACUGUGAUCAAUAGCUGAUUUGAGAGGAUGAUCAGCCACAUUGGGACUGAGACACGGCCCAAACUCCUACGGGAGGCAGCAGUGGGGAAUCUUGCACAAUGGAGGAAACUCUGAUGCAGCGAUGCCGCGUGAGUGAAGAAGGCCCUUGGGUUGUAAAGCUCUUUCGUCGGGGAAGAAAAUGACUGUACCCGAAUAAGAAGGUCCGGCUAACUUCGUGCCAGCAGCCGCGGUAAUACGAAGGGACCUAGCGUAGUUCGGAAUUACUGGGCUUAAAGAGUUCGUAGGUGGUUGAAAAAGUUAGUGGUGAAAUCCCAGAGCUUAACUCUGGAACUGCCAUUAAAACUUUUCAGCUAGAGUAUGAUAGAGGAAAGCAGAAUUUCUAGUGUAGAGGUGAAAUUCGUAGAUAUUAGAAAGAAUACCAAUUGCGAAGGUAGCUUUCUGGAUCAUUACUGACACUGAGGACCGAAAGCAUGGGUAGCGAAGAGGAUUAGAUACCCUCGUAGUCCAUGCCGUAAACGAUGUGUGUUAGACGUUGGAAAUUUAUUUUCAGUGUCGC